Peromyscus maniculatus bairdii (prairie deer mouse) is the source of this 134-nucleotide non-coding RNA. NCBI's taxonomy places the organism in Eukaryota, Metazoa, Chordata, Mammalia, Rodentia, Cricetidae. The record is from RefSeq and is a predicted model, not a curated record.
ACUUUUGUGCAAUGACAGUAUUGUGACCAAUGAGGCUUGUCUGAAGUGCAAUUAUUGCUGACUGAAAAGCCAGUAGCUUCCCCAUACACCAGUAGUGAAUAUGUGGAGAAAGAAACUGGGAAAACAAUACUAUU